Halichondria panicea is the source of this 713-nucleotide long non-coding RNA. RefSeq lists it as uncharacterized. NCBI's taxonomy places the organism in Eukaryota, Metazoa, Porifera, Demospongiae, Suberitida, Halichondriidae. The transcript has 3 exons. The record is from RefSeq and is a predicted model, not a curated record.
GCCUCGAUCCCAGGCCGAGUUUUCGCUUUUAUAACGGUUAGGCGAACAACUGGGCCUGGUACUAGUUGUCUGCGCAUGCGUCAGUCGUUUGUCAGAUUCUGAUGAAUGGAUAUUCUCGUUCACUUUCGUGACAUUUAUAUUCGUGUACUAUCGUGUACUAGAAGUCAGUUUCCGUUUUAUCAUUAUUGAAAUCGAUUGGAAUGGCUCUUAGUUGAAGCUUCUCUCUUCUCUGAAGCUUAUUCUGAAGACUGAACAACAAGGGAAGAGGUAUAAAGCUUUGUCAAGCUUGUUAAGGAUCUAGGAGCAAUGGCUAAUAUCCAGCUAUCCCAACAGUGCUCCUCUUGGCUAUACUAACGGACGAGACUGGACAGUUUGAGGACUGGAGUAUGACCUGCUCAUUCGAGCGUUGCUGGGUAGCUCAGAGACAUCAAGAGAAUCUACGUUUUCUCAAGCAAAAUUUAACUGAGUUACGAGUUGGGGCCUAGAAUCACAGAAGUCCAGCAGCCUGCUAAAUCUUUUUGAAAUGUAAUUUGAAGGCAUUCAAUCAUCCUGAAGUUGCCCUGGGUCACUGUAAUUGUGCUGCAGCACAACUGGCAACUCCCCAGGCCUUUGUGAAGCAGCUCCCUAUGUGCAUCUUUUGUGUACUCACUCUGUGCAUUUUCUGUGUACAAAUUUCCAUUAUUGAUUUAUUAAAUAUUUUUGCCGACCACAAA